UACGGAGGGUGCAAGCGUUACUCGGAAUCACUGGGCGUAAAGGGCGCGUAGGCGGCCUAGCAAGUCUGGUGUGAAAGCCCAGGGCUCAACCCUGGAAGGGCACUGGAACCUGUUAGGCUUGAGUUACGGAGAGGAGGGGGGAAUUCCCGGUGUAGCGGUGAAAUGCGUAGAUAUCGGGAGGAAUACCGGUGGCGAAGGCGCCCCUCUGGACUGAAACUGACGCUGAUGCACGAAAGCGUUGGGAGCAAACCGG
This 253-nucleotide ribosomal RNA is filed under the name uncultured bacterium. RNAcentral's name for it is "partial 16S ribosomal RNA". It matches the Rfam family "Bacterial small subunit ribosomal RNA", at positions 524 to 776 of the family's 1533-position model. The record is from RNAcentral.